RNAcentral lists this long non-coding RNA (416 nucleotides) under Cavia porcellus (domestic guinea pig). Its description in RNAcentral is "lncRNA (ENSCPOG00000035825.1)". The record is from RNAcentral. Lineage: Eukaryota; Metazoa; Chordata; Mammalia; Rodentia; Caviidae.
CAUGGCUCUCAGGGUGGAGAGUCCCUCAGCUAGCUAGCCCCUCUUCUGGGAUUUCUGCCGGCUGCAGGCCGCGUGGGAAGGACUCGGGGACACCGGGAAGCCGCGCAGUGGUGAUGGAAGAAACUCAGAUGACCAGCACAUUGAGGAUGAGAAUAAAAUCUUCAGAAACAUUCUAAGGUAACUUGCAUUCAUGAGAAGAAUGUUCCUCAAAUGUCAGAAAAUUAAACCCAAGCAAACGCAAAAGGAAGACUAUGUUUAAAUUAUUGUUCUUAUUUUUAUUUUAAAGGGGAUAAAACAGAAUAAAACCAAUACAAAAAAAAAAAAAAAAAAAAAAAAAAAACCAGGAUAAGAAACACCAGACUAAAAUCAUUACAGAAAUCAAGAAUAGUUAUAAGAAUGCCUUUUGAUGUUUUCAA